CAUCCCUGCCGAACAACGAACCCCGGCGCGGUCCGCGCCAAGGAACUUUAACGAAAGAGUGCCUCCGGCCGCCUCGGAAACGGUGUGCGUGCGGGAGGUGAAUCUUGUCUAGAACUAUAACGACUCUCGGCAACGGAUAUCUCGGCUCUCGCAUCGAUGAAGAACGUAGCGAAAUGCGAUACUUGGUGUGAAUUGCAGAAUCCCGCGAAUCAUCGAGUCUUUGAACGCAAGUUGCGCCCGAAGCCACCUGGCCGAGGGCACGUCUGCCUGGGUGUCACGCAUCGUUGCCCCCAACCCCAUCUCCUUGCAAAGGGACGAGGGGGCCUGUGGGGCAGAAAUUGGCCUCCCGUGAGCUCAUGCAUGCGGUUGGCCUAAAAGCGAGUCCUCGGCGACGCGCACCACGACAAUCGGUGGUUGUCAAACCCUCGUGUCCCGUCGUGCGUGCCGCGUCGCUCAUCGUGUGCUCCUUGACCCUGCUGUGUCGCGCUAGCGACGUUUCCAACGCGACCCCAGGUCAGGCGGGACUACCCGCUGAA
RNAcentral lists this ribosomal RNA (536 nucleotides) under embryophyte environmental sample. RNAcentral's name for it is "eukaryotic LSU rRNA". The stretch from base 122 to 277 matches the Rfam family "5.8S ribosomal RNA". The record is from RNAcentral. Lineage: Eukaryota; Viridiplantae; Streptophyta.